UACAGAGGGUGCAAACGUUGUUCGGAUUUACUGGGCGUAAAGGGCGCGCAGGCGGCUCUGAAAGUCAGAUGUGAAAGCCCCGGGCUUAACCUGGGAAUUGCAUUUGAUACUCUGGAGCUUGAGUACGGGAGAGGAGAGUGGAAUUCCCAGUGUAGAGGUGAAAUUCGUAGAUAUUGGGAAGAACACCGGUGGCGAAGGCGGCUCUCUGGACCGUAACUGACGCUGAGGCGCGAAAGCGUGGGGAGCAAACAGG
Molecule: ribosomal RNA, 253 nt
Filed under: uncultured bacterium
Lineage: Bacteria
Description: partial 16S ribosomal RNA
Rfam family: Bacterial small subunit ribosomal RNA
Source: RNAcentral